This is a non-coding RNA of Gorilla gorilla gorilla (western lowland gorilla), 313 nucleotides long. It matches the Rfam family "Metazoan signal recognition particle RNA". Rfam says of the family: The signal recognition particle (SRP) is a universally conserved ribonucleoprotein. NCBI's taxonomy places the organism in Eukaryota, Metazoa, Chordata, Mammalia, Primates, Hominidae. The record is from Rfam.
GCUGGGCGCGGUGGCUCACACCUGUAAUCCCAGCACUUUGGGAGGCUGGGGCAGGCGGAUCACGAGGUCAGGAGAUCGGGACCAUCCUGGCUAACACAGUGAAACCCCAUCUCUACUAAAAAUACAAAAAAUUAGCUAGGCAUGGUGGCGGGUGCCUGUAGUCCCAGCUACUCGNNNNNNNNNNCGAGUAGCUGGGACUACAGGCACCCGCCACCAUGCCUAGCUAAUUUUUUGUAUUUUUAGUAGAGAUGGGGUUUCACUGUGUUAGCCAGGAUGGUCCCGAUCUCCUGACCUCGUGAUCCGCCUGCCCCAG